This 646-nucleotide long non-coding RNA is filed under the name Fukomys damarensis (Damara mole-rat). RNAcentral's name for it is "lncRNA (ENSFDAG00000023508.1)". Lineage: Eukaryota; Metazoa; Chordata; Mammalia; Rodentia; Bathyergidae. The record is from RNAcentral.
CUUUGAUGUUUUAUUACUGUUUUCCCCUUUCGGUCCUCCCAGUCAUAGGGGGCCAAACAGAAGAGCCGUAAGGCAGUUAACGCAGACACCUCCCGAGCAUCAGGAAAGAAGACCUGUUUCCUGUCAGAACUUUGUCUGAAAUCCACAUAGGAACAACCAUGAAGUUCUGGAUUUGCCUGCUCCUCACGUUCGUCAGUGUCCAUCUGCCCGUGCUGGGAAGCCUCAGGACAAAACACAAGAGUGAUGAAACAGCAUCAGUUGACGAGUGCUGGGUGCAACCUCCAUCAGAGUACUGUGCAAACAGGUGCACGCGGCUGCAGACUUGCGUGAACCCUAAUCUUACAUGCUGUUGGGCCUACUGUGGAAAUAUCUGCUUGGACAGAGAAGAGUCCUUUAAAACAGUGCUAAUCCCCUAAGUUCUGUCUGGCCCACCACUAGCGUGUGCAGAAGAAUAACACUGUGGUCUAGGAAGAGUGCUGCCUGGUUGCUGUUGGGAUGUGAACUUGCUCCAGAUGAGGACCUCUUUGCUCUCUCUUUGACCUCUUCACCCUGAGAAGGCUUCCCUUUUGGCCAAAUAAACCAGUACAUCAACCUGAAGGCUCUUUGGUUUUUCAUCCUCCUUCCAUAUUUCCCUUUUUCCAACCCC